RNAcentral lists this ribosomal RNA (496 nucleotides) under uncultured bacterium. RNAcentral describes it as "partial 16S ribosomal RNA". It matches the Rfam family "Bacterial small subunit ribosomal RNA", at positions 29 to 507 of the family's 1533-position model. The record is from RNAcentral.
AUGAACGCUGGCGGCGUGCCUAAUACCUGCAAGUCGAGCGAACAGACGAGGAGCUUGCUCCUCUGACGUUAGCGGCGGACGGGUGAGUAACACGUGGAUAACCUGCCUAUAAGACUGGGAUAACUUCGGGAAACCGGAGCUAAUACCGGAUAAUAUAUUGAACCGCAUGGUUCAAUAGUGAAAGACGGUUUUGCUGUCACUUAUAGAUGGAUCCGCGCCGCAUUAGCUAGUUGGUAAGGUAACGGCUUACCAAGGCAACGAUGCGUAGCCGACCUGAGAGGGUGAUCGGCCACACUGGAACUGAGACACGGUCCAGACUCCUACGGGAGGCAGCAGUAGGGAAUCUUCCGCAAUGGGCGAAAGCCUGACGGAGCAACGCCGCGUGAGUGAUGAAGGUCUUCGGAUCGUAAAACUCUGUUAUUAGGGAAGAACAAAUGUGUAAGUAACUAUGCACGUCUUGACGGUACCUAAUCAGAAAGCCACGGCUAACUACGUG